This 77-nucleotide transfer RNA is filed under the name Clostridiales bacterium. RNAcentral describes it as "tRNA-Arg". It matches the Rfam family "tRNA". From Rfam's summary of the family: Transfer RNA (tRNA) molecules are approximately 80 nucleotides in length. Lineage: Bacteria; Bacillati; Bacillota; Clostridia; Eubacteriales. The record is from RNAcentral.
GUACCGGUAGCUCAGUUGGAUAGAGCACUAGCCUCCGACGCUAGAAGUCGUUGGUUCGACUCCAAUCCGGUACACCA